This 107-nucleotide small nucleolar RNA is filed under the name Corchorus capsularis. Its description in RNAcentral is "Plant small nucleolar RNA R71". It matches the Rfam family "Plant small nucleolar RNA R71". Rfam says of the family: R71 is a member of the C/D box family of snoRNAs containing the C (UGAUGA) and D (CUGA) box motifs. Lineage: Eukaryota; Viridiplantae; Streptophyta; Magnoliopsida; Malvales; Malvaceae. The record is from Rfam by way of RNAcentral.
AUGGCAUGUUGAGGACAAUCGACACAAAGUUUCUUGAAUCUCUCCCAAGCUAGGUAAAAAUUCUCAUCCUUGCGUUGUCGAAAACUUGUAAUCCAUUGUCUCCCCUU